UUUUGUUUAUCAUUAGUAGAAAGACAAAAAUAAUGAAACUGUAUGGUGCAGGAAGUGUCUUUUUCAUUGCUGUUUUUGGUGCUGGGCAAGCGGUAGAUCACUGGCUUCUGAAUCGAGAAAUGAAGCUUAUGAUAAAAUACUGCUGCUCGGUGCCUUCACUGAUUCAAGAGCGUUAGUGGCUAUCAUUGGCCAAUCUCACCAAAGGGAUAUAAUAAGAACUGUUGCAAUUUAUAUUUUCACAGGUUUAGUCUCAGGUUUAUAUGUAUGUGUUCAAGAAUAACUCCGAUCCUUCGAUUCGUAUAGCGGGCUGCGUCUUUGCCGAUUUUCAGCGUUUAUGCACCCAUGUCCAAAUAACAGCAAAGCGAGUUAAAAUGAAAGAGAA
Long non-coding RNA from Armigeres subalbatus, 382 nucleotides. RefSeq lists it as uncharacterized. NCBI's taxonomy places the organism in Eukaryota, Metazoa, Arthropoda, Insecta, Diptera, Culicidae. The transcript has 3 exons. The record is from RefSeq and is a predicted model, not a curated record.